Molecule: ribosomal RNA, 301 nt
Filed under: uncultured bacterium
Lineage: Bacteria
Description: partial 16S ribosomal RNA
Rfam family: Bacterial small subunit ribosomal RNA
Source: RNAcentral
CAGCAGCCGCGGUAAUACGUAGGUCCCGAGCGUUGUCCGGAUUUAUUGGGCGUAAAGCGAGCGCAGACGGUUAUUUAAGCAGGAUGUGAAAUCCCCGGGCUUAACCUGGGAACUGCGUUCUGAACUGGAUAGCUAGAGUGUGUCAGAGGGGGGUAGAAUUCCACGUGUAGCAGUGAAAUGCGUAGAGAUGUGAAGGAAUACCGAUGGCGAAGGCAGCCCCCUGGGAUAACACUGACGCUCAUGCACGAAAGCGUGGGGAGCAAACAGGAUUAGAUACCCGCGUAGUCCCUGUCUCUUAUAC